GCCGGUUUGGGAUACUAUCGGAGAGCUCGUUUUCUUUUAUAGGUUAAUCGAAACACUGGGGCCAUUUUCCACGGGUUUCCCAAUAUCGACCACACUCAAGAUUGUGUGAGAAAGGAUAUCAUAGGAUGGCUUCAGUGGCUUCGCCAUAAUGUGGGCUUUCAGGAUUUUCGUUUUGAUUAUGCAAAGGCUAUUCACCUAAAUAUGUUAAAGAGUAUAUUGAAGGAGCAAAGCCACUGUUAUCUGUCGGGGAGUAUUUGGA
Molecule: RNA transcript, 259 nt
Organism: Medicago truncatula (barrel medic)
Lineage: Eukaryota; Viridiplantae; Streptophyta; Magnoliopsida; Fabales; Fabaceae
Exons: 3
Source: RefSeq, a predicted model, not a curated record